GGGUUGUGAGGUUAAGCGACUAAGCGUACACGGUGGAUGCCCUGGCAGUCAGAGGCGAUGAAGGACGUGCUAAUCUGCGAUAAGCGUCGGUAAGGUGAUAUGAACCGUUAUAACCGGCGAUUUCCGAAUGGGGAAACCCAGUGUGUUUCGACACACUAUCAUUAACUGAAUCCAUAGGUUAAUGAGGCGAACCGGGGGGAACUGAAACAUCUAAGUACCCCGAGGAAAAGAAAUCAACCGAGAUUCCCCCAGUAGCGGCGAGCGAACGGGGAGCAGCCCAGAGCCUGAAUCAGUGUGUGUGUUAGUGGAAGCGUCUGGAAAGGCGCGCGAUACAGGGUGACAGCCCCGUACACAAAAAUGCACAUGCUGUGAGCUCGAUGAGUAGGGCGGGACACGUGGUAUCCUGUCUGAAUAUGGGGGGACCAUCCUCCAAGGCUAAAUACUCCUGACUGACCGAUAGUGAACCAGUACCGUGAGGGAAAGGCGAAAAGAACCCCGGCGAGGGGAGUGAAAAAGAACCUGAAACCGUGUACGUACAAGCAGUGGGAGCACGCUUAGGCGUGUGACUGCGUACCUUUUGUAUAAUGGGUCAGCGACUUAUAUUCUGUAGCAAGGUUAACCGAAUAGGGGAGCCGAAGGGAAACCGAGUCUUAACUGGGCGUUAAGUUGCAGGGUAUAGACCCGAAACCCGGUGAUCUAGCCAUGGGCAGGUUGAAGGUUGGGUAACACUAACUGGAGGACCGAACCGACUAAUGUUGAAAAAUUAGCGGAUGACUUGUGGCUGGGGGUGAAAGGCCAAUCAAACCGGGAGAUAGCUGGUUCUCCCCGAAAGCUAUUUAGGUAGCGCCUCGUGAAUUCAUCUCCGGGGGUAGAGCACUGUUUCGGCAAGGGGGUCAUCCCGACUUACCAACCCGAUGCAAACUGCGAAUACCGGAGAAUGUUAUCACGGGAGACACACGGCGGGUGCUAACGUCCGUCGUGAAGAGGGAAACAACCCAGACCGCCAGCUAAGGUCCCAAAGUCAUGGUUAAGUGGGAAACGAUGUGGGAAGGCCCAGACAGCCAGGAUGUUGGCUUAGAAGCAGCCAUCAUUUAAAGAAAGCGUAAUAGCUCACUGGUCGAGUCGGCCUGCGCGGAAGAUGUAACGGGGCUAAACCAUGCACCGAAGCUGCGGCAGCGACGCUUAUGCGUUGUUGGGUAGGGAGCGUUCUGUAAGCCUGUGAAGGUGUGCUGUGAGGCAUGCUGGAGGUAUCAGAAGUGCGAAUGCUGACAUAAGUAACGAUAAAGCGGGUGAAAAGCCCGCUCGCCGGAAGACCAAGGGUUCCUGUCCAACGUUAAUCGGGGCAGGGUGAGUCGACCCCUAAGGCGAGGCCGAAAGGCGUAGUCGAUGGGAAACAGGUUAAUAUUCCUGUACUUGGUGUUACUGCGAAGGGGGGACGGAGAAGGCUAUGUUGGCCGGGCGACGGUUGUCCCGGUUUAAGCGUGUAGGCUGGUUUUCCAGGCAAAUCCGGAAAAUCAAGGCUGAGGCGUGAUGACGAGGCACUACGGUGCUGAAGCAACAAAUGCCCUGCUUCCAGGAAAAGCCUCUAAGCAUCAGGUAACAUCAAAUCGUACCCCAAACCGACACAGGUGGUCAGGUAGAGAAUACCAAGGCGCUUGAGAGAACUCGGGUGAAGGAACUAGGCAAAAUGGUGCCGUAACUUCGGGAGAAGGCACGCUGAUAUGUAGGUGAGGUCCCUCGCGGAUGGAGCUGAAAUCAGUCGAAGAUACCAGCUGGCUGCAACUGUUUAUUAAAAACACAGCACUGUGCAAACACGAAAGUGGACGUAUACGGUGUGACGCCUGCCCGGUGCCGGAAGGUUAAUUGAUGGGGUCAGCGCAAGCGAAGCUCUUGAUCGAAGCCCCGGUAAACGGCGGCCGUAACUAUAACGGUCCUAAGGUAGCGAAAUUCCUUGUCGGGUAAGUUCCGACCUGCACGAAUGGCGUAAUGAUGGCCAGGCUGUCUCCACCCGAGACUCAGUGAAAUUGAACUCGCUGUGAAGAUGCAGUGUACCCGCGGCAAGACGGAAAGACCCCGUGAACCUUUACUAUAGCUUGACACUGAACAUUGAGCCUUGAUGUGUAGGAUAGGUGGGAGGCUUUGAAGUGUGGACGCCAGUCUGCAUGGAGCCGACCUUGAAAUACCACCCUUUAAUGUUUGAUGUUCUAACGUUGACCCCUAAUCGGGGUUGCGGACAGUGUCUGGUGGGUAGUUUGACUGGGGCGGUCUCCUCCUAAAGAGUAACGGAGGAGCACGAAGGUUGGCUAAUCCUGGUCGGACAUCAGGAGGUUAGUGCAAUGGCAUAAGCCAGCUUGACUGCGAGCGUGACGGCGCGAGCAGGUGCGAAAGCAGGUCAUAGUGAUCCGGUGGUUCUGAAUGGAAGGGCCAUCGCUCAACGGAUAAAAGGUACUCCGGGGAUAACAGGCUGAUACCGCCCAAGAGUUCAUAUCGACGGCGGUGUUUGGCACCUCGAUGUCGGCUCAUCACAUCCUGGGGCUGAAGUAGGUCCCAAGGGUAUGGCUGUUCGCCAUUUAAAGUGGUACGCGAGCUGGGUUUAGAACGUCGUGAGACAGUUCGGUCCCUAUCUGCCGUGGGCGCUGGAGAACUGAGGGGGGGCUGCUCCUAGUACGAGAGGACCGGAGUGGACGCAUCACUGGUGUUCGGGUUGUCAUGCCAAUGGCACUGCCCGGUAGCUAAAUGCGGAAGAGAUAAGUGCUGAAAGCAUCUAAGCACGAAACUUGCCCCGAGAUGAGUUCUCCCUGACCCUUUAAGGGUCCUGAAGGAACGUUGAAGACGACGACGUUGAUAGGCCGGGUGUGUAAGCGCAGCGAUGCGUUGAGCUAACCGGUACUAAUGAACCGUGAGGCUUAACCUUACAACGCCGAAGCUGUU
Molecule: ribosomal RNA, 2931 nt
Filed under: Escherichia coli
Lineage: Bacteria; Pseudomonadati; Pseudomonadota; Gammaproteobacteria; Enterobacterales; Enterobacteriaceae
Description: 23S ribosomal RNA
Rfam family: Bacterial large subunit ribosomal RNA
Source: RNAcentral